This is a non-coding RNA of Caenorhabditis elegans, 192 nucleotides long. The record is from Ensembl. Lineage: Eukaryota; Metazoa; Nematoda; Chromadorea; Rhabditida; Rhabditidae.
CCGGAGAGGACAUGUCGUUGACUUUUCGUUCCGACACUCCGCCUCUUUUCGGAACAAGGUCACGCCCCUAUCAGUUUGCAAGAGGUAAGGAAUGGAGACGAAGAGAAAAUGGAAAAAUGGGUUUAUGCAUAAUUUUGAGAUGAUAGAGAAAUCGAGAAACCUGAAGUUUAAACCACACAGAAAGAAAAUGAA